UUGUGAUAUGAUUCUCUAGUAGAUGUUUAAAGUCGAUACUACAUUCUUUUCUUUAUCUAUUUGUUUGCACAAAAAAGUUUGUAAUUUGAGUAUUUAAUGAAACAAAUUAAAUAUGUAUUCAUAAUUGUAUAUGUUAUUUAAUAUUUCAUUGAUAGGGGCGAGAAUAGGCCAUUUUAAAAUUUUGCCCCGUUGCCCUGGCCAUAUUUUAGGGCGGGUCUCGUGGUGGGGGAAAUUAUCAAAAUUCUUUUGAUUUUUUCUCGUCCCGUCGGCCGCCCCGGUCAUAAUUUCUGGGACGAAGCUCAAGGCAAGCCUGUCCUGUCUACGAACCGUCCCGGUUUUACCGUGGUCUUCAUAGACUAGAGUGGGGCACGAAGCAAGGCCUCUCCAACCAUGAUCCGCCCUGUUCUCACUCAUCUCUAAUCUCAGACAGUAUCUAUAUAUCAGAUUUAUGAGCCCAUAAGUGAAAAUAUUUCUAAUUCAGUAUAUGAAACAGUAUGUUGUUUUUUCUCAGAGUAUAGAAGCUUCUAGACAGAAUACAUAACCUUAUAGACAAAGUAUGGAGAUUCAGAGGAUAGGAAUAUCAGAAUAGAAUAUUCUAUAUAUAGAAUAUACACCCCAUAUCAAGUGAGACGUACAAGUAAUCUUAGUACUAGAUCUGGUAUCACCAGUAUUUCUUUGUUUUUGAUUUUUUUUCCUUUCUUUUUUGCCAGGUCUCGCUUCUUUUGAGAAUAACAUUUUCUCUUAAUCUUCAAAGGCUAAUGCUUUGCACAUUAAUGUGAAACGAUAACAGAGAUCCCUUUAGUAGAGUCCUCCCAGACCGCGACAGUACCCUGCGCUCCUCAUCCAUGCACGCACCAGGAAGGUGGCGAAGAAGUACUCGACCAUUGUUGCCAUUGCCGAGGAGUGUUCUUGGGGAAAAGACUUGAUGCCUCAUCUUCAACCUCUGAACAUUCUUUCGAUCAGACACCUCCGAGCCCGAGGUGUCUCAUAUCAUAGGGUAGAUGCGUUCAAGGGCGACAUUAGUAUCCACGAUUAUUGUCUGCAUGGUUCCCCACAUGAGUCACACCAUAUUACGGAUUUUGCUAUGAUGUCCUACUUGACUAGCUAAAAUGUUUCGUAUCUUUUAUCUAAAUCUCUCAAUUAUUGUUUCUUAAUCAUUUUGCACUGCGCGACACGUCGGACGGAGGAUCUGCGCACUACGGUACUCUCCACUCGUUUUUGUUGUAACAGUGUUGAGGUUCCGACGAUCGUCGGAGAGAAAUUCGGUUGUGGUUAAAAGAGAUUAAGGAUAAAACUAACAUAAUAAAAUUCAUAUAAAACUCAUAACUUUUAUAUAAAACGUAAGCAAUUUAUAAUGUCUA
RNAcentral lists this long non-coding RNA (1361 nucleotides) under Zostera marina. Its description in RNAcentral is "long non-coding RNA (ZMAR_LNC002550)". The record is from RNAcentral. Lineage: Eukaryota; Viridiplantae; Streptophyta; Magnoliopsida; Alismatales; Zosteraceae.